RNAcentral lists this unclassified non-coding RNA (277 nucleotides) under uncultured fungus. RNAcentral describes it as "sequence contains ITS2". The stretch from base 1 to 52 matches the Rfam family "5.8S ribosomal RNA", at positions 103 to 154 of the family's 154-position model. Lineage: Eukaryota; Fungi. The record is from RNAcentral.
AACGCACAUUGCGCCCGCCAGUAUUCUGGCGGGCAUGCCUGUCUGAGCGUCAUUUCAACCCUCGCGAGACCCCUCGCGGUGUUGGGGGCCGGCCCCCUGGCCCUCCCCUGCGGAGGCCGGGCCGCCCCCUAAAUGCAGUGGCGGACUCGCUGCCGCCUCCCACGCGCAGUAGCACUGUUUCGCGUUGCGGAGGGCGGCGGGACCCCGCCGGUGAAGCCCACCGAACCCCACCACCAAGGUUGACCUCAGAUCAGGUAGGAAUACCCGCUGAACUUAA